UACGAAGGGGGCUAGCGUUGUUCGGAAUCACUGGGCGUAAAGCGCACGUAGGCGGAUUGUUAAGUCAGGGGUGUAAUCCCGAGGCUCAACCUCGGAACUGCCUCUGAUACUGGCAAUCUUGGAGUCCGGGAGAGGUGAGUGGAAUUCCGAGUGUAGAGGUGAAAUUCGUAGAUAUUCGGAAGAACACCAGUGGCGAAGGCGGCUCACUGGCCCGGUACUGACGCUGAGGUGCGAAAGCGUGGGGAGCAAACAGG
RNAcentral lists this unclassified non-coding RNA (254 nucleotides) under uncultured Alphaproteobacteria bacterium. RNAcentral's name for it is "contains 16S-23S intergenic spacer region". It matches the Rfam family "Bacterial small subunit ribosomal RNA", at positions 524 to 776 of the family's 1533-position model. The record is from RNAcentral. Lineage: Bacteria; Pseudomonadati; Pseudomonadota; Alphaproteobacteria.